RNAcentral lists this ribosomal RNA (265 nucleotides) under uncultured bacterium. RNAcentral's name for it is "partial 16S ribosomal RNA". It matches the Rfam family "Bacterial small subunit ribosomal RNA", at positions 30 to 295 of the family's 1533-position model. The record is from RNAcentral.
AUUGAACGCUGGCGGCAGGCCUAACACAUGCAAGUCGAGCGGAUGAGUGGAGCUUGCUCCAUGAUUCAGCGGCGGACGGGUGAGUAAUGCCUAGGAAUCUGCCCUGGUAGUGGGGGACAACGUUUCGAAAGGAACGCUAAUACCGCAUACGUCCUACGGGAGAAAGCAGGGGACCUUGGGCCUUGCGCUAUCAGAUGAGCCUAGGUCGGAUUAGCUAGUAGGUGAGGUAAUGGCUCACCUAGGCGACGAUCCGUAACUGGUCUGA